RNAcentral lists this ribosomal RNA (710 nucleotides) under uncultured bacterium. RNAcentral describes it as "bacterial SSU rRNA". It matches the Rfam family "Bacterial small subunit ribosomal RNA", at positions 104 to 810 of the family's 1533-position model. The record is from RNAcentral.
GGGUGAGUAACACGUAUGUAACCUGCCCUCUGCAGGGGGAUAAGCGGAAGAAAUUCCGUCUAAUACCGCAUAAUACAAUUUGGAGGCAUCUCCGGGUUGUCAAAGGAGUGAUCCGGCAGAGGAUGGACAUGCGGCGCAUUAGCUAGUCGGCGGGGUAACGGCCCACCGAGGCUACGAUGCGUAGGGGUUCUGAGAGGAAGGUCCCCCACACUGGUACUGAGACACGGACCAGACUCCUACGGGAGGCAGCAGUGAGGAAUAUUGGUCAAUGGGCGGAAGCCUGAACCAGCCAAGUCGCGUGAGGGAAGACGGUCCUAUGGAUUGUAAACCUCUUUUGCAGGGGAGCAAGGCGCGGUACGUGUACCGCGAAGGAGAGUACCCUGAGAAAAAGCAUCGGCUAACUCCGUGCCAGCAGCCGCGGUAAUACGGAGGAUGCGAGCGUUAUCCGGAUUUAUUGGGUUUAAAGGGUGCGCAGGCGGACUGUUAAGUCAGCGGUAAAAUGUCGGUGCUCAACACCAGCCGGCCGUUGAAACUGGCAGCCUUGAGUGAGCGAGAAGUAUGCGGAAUGCGUGGUGUAGCGGUGAAAUGCAUAGAUAUCACGCAGAACUCCGAUUGCGAAGGCAGCAUACCGGCGCUCAACUGACGCUCAGGCACGAAAGCGUGGGUAUCGAACAGGCUUAGAUACCCUGGUAGUCCACGCAGUAGACGAU